Molecule: ribosomal RNA, 253 nt
Filed under: uncultured bacterium
Lineage: Bacteria
Description: partial 16S ribosomal RNA
Rfam family: Bacterial small subunit ribosomal RNA
Source: RNAcentral
UACAGAGGGGGCAAGCGUUGUUCGGAAUUACUGGGCGUAAAGGGCGCGUAGGCGGCCUGUUAAGUCGAACGUGAAAUCCCCGGGCUCAACCCGGGAACUGCGUCCGAUACUGGCAGGCUUGAAUUCGGGAGAGGGAUGCGGAAUUCCAGGUGUAGCGGUGAAAUGCGUAGAUAUCGGGAGGAACAUCAGUGGCGAAGGCGGCCCUCUGGUCCAGUACUGACACUCAAGUGCGAAAGCGUGGGGAGCAAACAGG